Molecule: ribosomal RNA, 425 nt
Filed under: uncultured bacterium
Lineage: Bacteria
Description: bacterial SSU rRNA
Rfam family: Bacterial small subunit ribosomal RNA
Source: RNAcentral
UAACGAAUCUUGUCCAAUGGGCGCAAGCCUGAGACAGCAAUGCCGCGUGCGGGACGAAGUCCUUCGGGAUGUAAACCGCUGUCAGGGGUCGCCAAGCGACCCGGGUGAAUAAUCCGGGAAGUUGAGGAGCCCCAGAGGAAGCCACGGCUAACUUCGUGCCAGCAGCCGCGGUAAUACGAAGGUGGCGAGCGUUAUUCGGAAUCACUGGGCUUAAAGAGCACGUAGGCGGGUUGUCAAGCGUUUUGUGAAAUCCCUCGGCUUAACCGAGGAACUGCUUGGCGAACUGGCAACCUUGAGGCAAGUAAGGGCGCGCGGAACUCUUGGUGGAGCGGUGGAAUGCGUAGAUAUCAAGAGGAACGCCGGAGGUGAAGACGGCGCGCUGGGCUUGUCCUGACGCUGAGGUGCGAAAGCCAGGGGAGCGAACG